RNAcentral lists this ribosomal RNA (253 nucleotides) under uncultured bacterium. Its description in RNAcentral is "partial 16S ribosomal RNA". It matches the Rfam family "Bacterial small subunit ribosomal RNA", at positions 524 to 776 of the family's 1533-position model. The record is from RNAcentral.
GACAGAGGGUGCAAACGUUGCUCGGAAUCACUGGGCGUAAAGGGCGUGUAGGCGGGAAGAAAAGUCAGAUGUGAAAUCCCUGGGCUCAACCCAGGAACUGCAUUUGAAACUCUCUUUCUUGAGUACCGGAGAGGAAGGUGGAAUUCCUGGUGUAGAGGUGAAAUUCGUAGAUAUCAGGAGGAACACCAGUGGCGAAGGCGGCCUUCUGGACGGUAACUGACGCUGAGACGCGAAAGCGUGGGGAGCAAACAGG